Molecule: ribosomal RNA, 484 nt
Filed under: uncultured bacterium
Lineage: Bacteria
Description: partial 16S ribosomal RNA
Rfam family: Bacterial small subunit ribosomal RNA
Source: RNAcentral
AUUGAACGCUGGCGGCAUGCUUUACACAUGCAAGUCGAACGGCAGCGCGGGCUUCGGCCUGGCGGCGAGUGGCGAACGGGUGAGUAAUGCAUCGGAACGUGCCCAGUAGUGGGGGAUAGCCCGGCGAAAGCCGGAUUAAUACCGCAUACGACCUGAGGGUGAAAGCGGGGGACCGAAAGGCCUCGCGCUAUUUGAGCGGCCGAUGUCGGAUUAGCUAGUUGGUGGGGUAAAGGCUUACCAAGGCGACGAUCCGUAGCUGGUCUGAGAGGACGACCAGCCACACUGGGACUGAGACACGGCCCAGACGCCUACGGGAGGCAGCAGUGGGGAAUUUUGGACAAUGGGGGCAACCCUGAUCCAGCCAUGCCGCGUGCGGGAAGAAGGCCUUCGGGUUGUAAACCGCUUUUGUUCGGGAAGAAAUCCUCUGGGCUAAUACCCCGGGGGGAUGACGGUACCGGAAGAAUAAGCACCGGCUAACUACGUG